This 22-nucleotide ribosomal RNA is filed under the name Roccella tinctoria. RNAcentral's name for it is "partial large subunit ribosomal RNA". The record is from RNAcentral. RNAcentral also lists the same sequence under 1 other name. Lineage: Eukaryota; Fungi; Ascomycota; Arthoniomycetes; Arthoniales; Roccellaceae.
UUGACCUCGGAUCAGGUAGGAG